RNAcentral lists this small nuclear RNA (337 nucleotides) under Peromyscus maniculatus bairdii (prairie deer mouse). Its description in RNAcentral is "7SK RNA (ENSPEMG00000003059.2)". It matches the Rfam family "7SK RNA". Rfam says of the family: 7SK was discovered as an abundant small nuclear RNA in the mid-70s but a possible function has only recently been suggested. Two independent studies have found that 7SK RNA binds the CDK9/cyclin T complex (known as elongation factor P-TEFb). Lineage: Eukaryota; Metazoa; Chordata; Mammalia; Rodentia; Cricetidae. The record is from RNAcentral.
GGCUGUGAGAGUCAUCUGGCUGCAACGUGUGUCUCUCCACUGACUGCCAGGACUGACUCAGCUGAUCUGGCUGCCUACGCAGGUCUCUCCCUUCCUCCAUCACCUCUCCAGGUGUGUCCCUCCCAAAGCUGUGCACUCAACCAAAGAGCAAGACCUCCCUCUCUAGCGGAGGACUAUUCUUUGAUCAAGAGUAUACACGGAGGUGCGCUCCCCUGCUAAAAUCUCCAAACAAGCUCUCAAGGCACAUUCAUUUUAUAUUUACAGGCUGAGGAGUGAUGAAAAGAAGUCUAUGUUUUCUUUAAUCAAACUUUUAUAUUCCUAUGAGGCAGAAAACUUU